CACGAUCAAUUGGCGCAGCUUCAUGCCGCUGAGCUCGUUUUUCAUCAGAAAUUUUAUUGCGAAAAAAUUGAACUUGUAUCUUAACGAUCUUCAUGGUCGGCCCAUUCCUGGAAGACACCGUCUUCCACGGUCUUAUUCAUUGAAUUGCAGGUUGCAGCAGGGCCCCUUCCCAGGUAAACGUUUUUCUGCAAUCCUACGUACAAGCGCGUCUCGAUGUGAUGCUUGGCGCCGGCAUCCCUCCUCUUGCAGUGCGGUGCGGUGGCCGUACAGCUCGGAGAAUACUGUUCGAACACUCUUUACUCGUCACCGUCAGUUUCUGGCACGAGCUAAACGCGAGAGCGCGAACAAGUGCAUUUUCCAGAUCGUAACUCCUAACACGUAUGUGACGUUACGCCAAAAAGCGAGAUAGUCAAAGAGAAGGGAAGAGAGAGAGAGAGAGAGAGAGAGAGAGAGAGAGAGAGAGAGAGAGAGAAAGAGAGCGUGUUCGAGCUCACGAUCCUUUAAAGUCGGCCGGAUAUCCGAGUUUCAUUUCCAUAUCCGGACAGUGAGGAAAACUAAAACAGCGGAAGCAGGCAGUGAUAUGAAGAAUACGAAAAUCGACGAAUAUGUCGGGCCUCAACCGCGAGCAUAUGCAACGUGGAAAUUCGGUAAGCCGCAACAAAUGACGAUCCGUCCUGGCGUUUCCGCGCUCGAAAACAAUCGGCUGCAAAUCCGUUAAAAAUUCUCCUCUCAACAUUCGAUCCAUUUGUUCCGCGGCGCGCGUGAGGGGUAACAAUGUUGUCGGAGUACAUCGCAGUGCCGAAUAAAAGAGGUGCAUGAAAGGCAAGACUGACCUUUUCGAGGCAUCGCAGAAGAAUGCCGAUGUAAAUUGGAGCGCCCGAGAGCCGAAGGUUGUCUUCUCGAUGUCUCGAGCGGGCGUGAACGUUAAACGAGUUUCCAAUGGUAAAGACGACCAUGUCGAUGGUGACGCAAAUGUCGACGCCGUGCAGACCGCAAUCGACAAUCUCGGCAGAUGGCAAGUCACCGUCUGCCUGGCGAUUUCCCUGGUCAAAUUUCCGGUAGCCUGGCAUCAAUUGGCGAUUGUCUUCAUGGCGCCGCACCAGGAUUAUAAUUGCACGGAGCCUGCCACCACGGACUCCAAAGACCAAUGCACGGUCAACGUUAACGGCACAUUAGUCGAGUGCACGGAGUGGAAAUACGACCGAAGUGUCUUUUCCGAGACCAUUAUAUCGCAGUGGAAUUUAGUCUGCGAUCGGACGCACUACGCGAACAUACAACAGUCUAUUCUUAUGUUCGGCGUGCUGCUCGGUAACAUAAUCUUCGGCAGUUUAGCGGAUAGGUACGGCAGGAAAGUACCGCUGAUGGUUUCCGUGGUUCUCAAACUGGUAUCGGGGAUUGGAUGCGCCGUAGUGCCUUGGUUUCAAGCAUUGUUGCUGAUGAAACUAUUGAGCGCCAUGGCUACUGGAGGCACAAUGGUGACUAGUUACGUUAUUUGCAUGGAAAUAGUGGGUACGAAAUGGCGAGCCGCCAUCACUGUUCUGUACCAAUUUCCUUUUGCCUUAGGACAUCUGUCGUUGGCGGGAUUGGCGUUCUGGUUUCGACAUUGGCAACAAUUGCAGAUCGCCAUCACCCUUCCGUCCAUUAUUCUUUUAAGUUAUUGGUGGUUAGCACCUGAAUCGCCUAGGUGGUUAUUAGCUAUGGGAAGGCAGAAAGCGGCCUGCAAGAUCUUGCAGAAGGCAGCCAGUAUCAAUAAAAUGGAAAACGUGGACAUUCCCGAAGUGAUAAGGAAACAUUGCUUGCAGCAGAAUUUUAAGAAAUCCAUAUUGGAUCAUAGAGCCUCGUUUGUGGAUCUUUUUCGUACGCCAAACAUGCGAAUAAAAUCCCUGUCGAUUUUCUUCAACUGGACCGUUUGUGGAAUGGGCUUGUUUGGCAUGUCACAGUAUAUCGGCCAGGUCGGCGGCGAUAUUUUCAUUAAUUUCGCAGUAUCCGGUGCUAUACAGAUUCCUGGAAACUUCGUCGCAUGGUGGGCAAUGAACAAAUUAGGUCGACGAGUCACUCUGAUUUGCAGCAACUCUACAGCCGGCGUGGCCUGUCUGUUCUUGAUCAUCGUAUCAAACGAUAUCGCCUGGUUAAGAUUGCUGUUGGCAUGCUGCGGUAUCGUCGGUAUAGCGGUAUCGUUCACGACAGUCUACCUUUUCUCCGGAGAACUGUUCCCCACAGUCGUGAGGAACAUCGGAGUCGGCACGAGCAGCAUGUGCGCCAGACUAGGUUCCAUCGUGGCGCCGUUCGUGGUGUCUUUGGCUGAAGUCGGGCCCGUCGUGUGAUGUCGCGUGAACAGGUUGCUUAUCACUAUUGAUUGUUUCUCGCUAAGAAUCGAAGGAACGUCUCAUCGCCACUGGAGGAUCGGCGAUUCUCUUUUCUAGGUUGCAUUUCAAAACAUCUUUUUUGAGGAAAAUUUUACUCUUAAAUCUAUAGUUUAUAUUACAUAUACUAUGGACUUAAGAGUAAAAUUUUCUUCGGAAAGGACGUUUUGGAAUGCAAACCUAGAUUGUUAAUUUCAGACAUAAUUUCAGAGCGGCAUCAAAGCGUGGCUACCGCCGACCGUGUUCGGCGUCUUGCCGUUAAUUGGCGCCGCGCUGUGUCUGUUAUUGCCCGAAACUGCAGGAUGCACACUGCCAGAGACGCUUCAGGACGGAGAGGAGUUCGGAAAGAAGUGUAAGGCGAAAGGGAC
Molecule: RNA transcript, 2731 nt
Organism: Odontomachus brunneus
Lineage: Eukaryota; Metazoa; Arthropoda; Insecta; Hymenoptera; Formicidae
Gene name: organic cation transporter protein-like
Exons: 11
Source: RefSeq, a predicted model, not a curated record